CCCGACCCUCCGAAGGUAGGAGGCCAGGCCCUUCCUAGCAAAAUGACCGAUAUACGCAUGUGGUUGACUGUAAGGCAGUCAUUUAUAUAAAUAUAAUUUACCUGGGCGGUGUCUGCUCCAUGAGACUCAAUGAUGUUCAAAACAUAAUCCGACACUCGCAUUCUUACACCUUACGGACACUGGUGCGAACUUCACUCGAGACCUCUGAGACUUUAUAAAACUAAGAUGUCAAUCUCACUUCAAGCAACUUACAGCGUUGUAUGGAUAAUAUUGAUGAUAAUGACAAGCAAUACAAGCAGGCACGAGCAAGCCAUAUUGCUGAUCUGACCCUGGCAGAAACACCCCCUCGCCCUCCCACCUGGUUGAUUGUCCCGGCAAGAAAAAAUACCGGUAGCGGCUCAACCUCCAUUGGAUCAUUAGUUUUAACGUAUACUGGACUGCUUUAUGAGUGGAUUCGUCUGAUUGUUUGGUUUCACCAACGUAAUCGUGCUUCUCAUCGCAUCUUGAGCUGCUUAACUUUUAUUUUUAGGACAGUCCCAUUCACAGCGGCGUUUAUAAUAUUCGGAUUGUUGCGACCAACUUUGUUCAUGAUGAAGCGAGUUCGGCGAAAUUAACAUCAUUAAUAACUCUGGAGUAGAAUCGUGAGGAAGCACGGUGAGUUAUCCACAAUUUUACUGGUCUUUCUUUCAAUGGCGCUAAUUAAUGGAGUAAAUUUAGGGGAUGCAGAAUUGACUCGCAAGUGACCAUAUGCAUGAUUAUUUCGCCUACAAUUAUAAGGUACGGAACUUAAGGCGCGUCCUAGGACGCUGUCGCCGGCGUCCGGACGCCUGCGGACGGACGCCGAUAAAAUCUGUCCAAUGAUUUUGGGUGGGGACGGCACCUUAGCGGCGAAGAGACGCUGCGGAAAACGCCGAUGGAGGACGCUCCGAUCUGUCGCCAACAGAUCGGAGCGGAGACGCCGACAAAUUCCGCUCAGUCCGCUGCCUUUCCUACCGCUUUUCGAAUGUGUUUAGUUCGACAAACCCGCGAAUUGAUCACAAAAGCCGUAAAUUGAUCAAGAAAAGCUGUGAAUCGAUCGACAAUCCCGUGAAUCGAUGGAAAAGAGCCGUAAAUCGAUGCGAUCGACCCACCCGUGAAUCGAUCGACAAAAGUCGUGAAUCGAUCGACCAAGCUGUGAAUCGAUCGACAGACCUGUGAGUUGAUCGACAAACCCGUGAAUCGAUCGACCAAGCUGUGAGUCAAUCGAAUUACGUCGAUCGGUUCACGUUUUGGUUUUUCGGUUGAUUCAUGUCGAUGGAAUUGAUACAGUUUUUUUUUUAAAAAAAUUAAUUGUCAAUCAUACCUCGUCGAUCGAUUCACGUUUUUUCCGAUCGAUUCAUGUCGAUCGGAUCGACACCGAUAUUUUAAGAAUUUGUCCAUCGCAUCGGUGCCGAUCGAAUCACGUUUUUAUUUUUCGGUCGAUUCUUGUCGAUCGAAUUACGUUUUUAUCUUUCGGUCGAUUCUUGUCGAUCGAAUCCACACCCUCCUAAAAAAAAAGCGCGUCCAGCCAUUUUUGCGGCUCAAAGCAUACUGUCCGAUCAACGAAAAUUCGAGAAAUUGACAGCGGACAGAGCGGAAAAAAUCCACGAAUUCCGCUCCUUAGGUGCCGUGCUCCAAAAUGUGAGCGUCUUCUCGCCCUCGACUCGGUAGCAGCAUUUCUCGCCGGCGUCCAGGACGCCGGCGACAGCGUCCUAGGACGCGCCUUAAGUUCCGUACCUAUAGAGAUAGACCAAAACUGCCAUGCCAGGGAAGAACAACGUAAGAGCCUUUGAGCGUUACCUAAUUAUCUAUAAUAGAAGACGAAUU
RNAcentral lists this long non-coding RNA (1845 nucleotides) under Bemisia tabaci. Its description in RNAcentral is "lncRNA ENSSSA2NGG002342". The record is from RNAcentral. Lineage: Eukaryota; Metazoa; Arthropoda; Insecta; Hemiptera; Aleyrodidae.